RNAcentral lists this long non-coding RNA (1523 nucleotides) under Oryzias sinensis (Chinese medaka). RNAcentral's name for it is "lncRNA (ENSOSIG00000018691.1)". The record is from RNAcentral. Lineage: Eukaryota; Metazoa; Chordata; Actinopteri; Beloniformes; Adrianichthyidae.
ACGCUGUUUGCCCUUGUUAAGACACAUAAUUACCUCAUUUACAUCUCGUUUCCUCCCCAAAAUCGGAAGCCAUUAUGCGCCCCCGCACUCCGUUUCUCCCCUUCCAACGAUUAGUCAUCAUCCAAUCAGCUUCUGGGCUGCGAAGGGAAAGGCUCCCACGAGUCGAGCCAGGCCGGCCGGACAGCGGCAGAGCCUGAGAUGCUCAGACAGGAAGUGUCCUGGAGUCUCACUGGAAACCCCGAAAAACGGCAGCAACAGAUUGAAAGGGUCCAGGCAGACGGGCCUCUUUAUGAGGCACCCGGAGUCCGGCUCAUCCGUCAUGUCGCCGACGGGGAUCAUGGGAGGACAGUUGAGGAAGCCGUGUGGGAGAAAACGUUCUGCAUCCCCACCACCGUGGACGCCUCGCUCCUGUCCCCCCGCCCUGUCAGGAUGGGGCUGGUUUUCGGCGGUGGGAAGAGCGCCGUGGGACACGAAACCGCCGCUUUCCUUCUCAGUGUGUCGGGGAGGAAGGAGUGCGGUUCUCCGAGCUCUGCUCUCCAGAGAAUCCCAUCAUGAAAGCAACAAAGAGCUCAGAGACUUCGGCUGAAACCCGGGGACCUUCCAUCUGAACCGGGAGCAUCUCUGAGCCAAGAGCGCCACCCUGCACUCCUCAGCGGUACUGCGCCGCCGCUGGAACCUGCUCCAGCCAAACAUAAACUCGACCUUUUUUUUCUCCAAAUACUAAAAUGAUUGAAGGAUGAAAUUGGGGAAACAUCACAUCUGUUGGGUUUUUACCCUCACACACACACACACACACAAACAAACCUAAGAAAGCCUCUUUAACCAAAGCCGAGCACAAACGCACUUAAAAUCAAGCUAAUUACAAUUUUGUCUGUUCCCUUUUGUGUCUUCGCAUAAAGGGAGCAGGGGAAAAUAAGGUGGCGGGGGCUGUCUGUGAUUUUUCCAACUGGUACGGUGAAAUAACACACAGCCCUCCGCUGUUCCUCAUUUAAAUGAGGCUGAUUUCUUAACAAAAAUUCGCUGCUAGUGUAACAAGAGUGAAAGAGGAGCCUGUGAAAACUCGCAGCCCGCAGCAAGUAUUUAAACUAUCAUUUAAAAAGGGCUGAUCUGUAAUUCAGAGCGGAUACGGUAUCAGUCGGCGUGCUUGUCAUUCCCGGCUAUAAUCUCCACCACGCUCAGAAACACUGUCUGCUGGCAGCUCUGAGAGGAGAAGGAGGAGGAGGAAGAGGAAGAGGAGAAGAGGGGAGGCAGGGGGAGAGGGAUUGGACUUCUUCUCCUCCAGCUGACGCUCGCUAUCAGAGACUAAAUCUUUUUUCCGGAGCAAAGAAAAACUCUGAGAUUGAGUUAAAUAAGAGCAAAAACCUUCUGAACGAGGAUGACUGUUCGGGAAAAACUCAGAGGUCAUAGGUCAAAUCAUGAAAUCCUCCAUCUGCAUUUGUUAGCGACAAUCUGCAAGCAGCAACUGCCAGGAAAUUAAAAAAUAUCUGAUAAAAUUCUGGGUUUUCACUGUUUUUCUUGUGUUC